RNAcentral lists this ribosomal RNA (264 nucleotides) under uncultured bacterium. Its description in RNAcentral is "partial 16S ribosomal RNA". It matches the Rfam family "Bacterial small subunit ribosomal RNA", at positions 30 to 277 of the family's 1533-position model. The record is from RNAcentral.
AGCGAACGCUGGCGGCGUGCUUAACACAUGCAAGUCGCGCGGGAAAGAGACUUUCGGGUCUUGAGUAGAGCGGCGGACGGGUGCGUAAGACGCGGGUGACCUAUCCGAGAGGCGGGGAUAACCCAGCGAAAGCGGGGCUAAUACCGGAUGAGCCCCCAGGCGGAAACGCGCGGGGGCAAAGGAUGCUACUCGAUAGUGGCAUGUCCUCACGGAGGGGCCCACGGCCUAUCAGCAGUUGGUGUGGUAACGGCGCACCAAGGCGAA